RNAcentral lists this ribosomal RNA (253 nucleotides) under uncultured bacterium. RNAcentral describes it as "partial 16S ribosomal RNA". It matches the Rfam family "Bacterial small subunit ribosomal RNA", at positions 524 to 776 of the family's 1533-position model. The record is from RNAcentral.
GACGAACCGUACGAACGUUAUUCGGAUUCACUGGGCUUAAAGGGUGCGUAGGCGGCCCGGAAAGUUGGGUGUGAAAGCCCUCGGCUUAACCGAGGAAUUGCGCCCAAAACUACCGGGCUCGAGGGAGACAGAGGUGAGCGGAACUUAGGGUGGAGCGGUGAAAUGCGUUGAUAUCCUAAGGAACACCAGGAGCGAAAGCGGCUCACUGGGUCUCUUCUGACGCUGAGGCACGAAAGCUAGGGGAGCGAACGGG